CAGCAGCCGCGGGAAUACAGAGGAUGCAAGCGUUAUCCGGAAUGAUUGGGCGUAAAGCGUCUGUAGGUGGCUUUUCAAGUCCGCCGUCAAAUCCCAGGGCUCAACCCUGGACAGGCGGUGGAAACUACCAAGCUAGAGUACGGUAGGGGCAGAGGGAAUUUCCGGUGGAGCGGUGAAAUGCGUUGAGAUCGAAAAGAACACCAACGGCGAAAGCACUCUGCUGGGCCGACACUGACACUGAGAGACGAAAGCUAGGGGAGCAAAUGGGAUUAGAUACCCGCGUAGUCCCUGUCUCUUAUAA
This 301-nucleotide ribosomal RNA is filed under the name uncultured bacterium. RNAcentral describes it as "partial 16S ribosomal RNA". It matches the Rfam family "Bacterial small subunit ribosomal RNA", at positions 509 to 809 of the family's 1533-position model. The record is from RNAcentral.